UAUAAACGAGUGCGAUGAAAAAAUCCUCAACUGUUCCCACGAGUGCGUGAACACAAAUGGAAGUGCGUACUGUGGUUGUCCCUUCGGCCUAAAGUUGUCAGAUGAUGGCUUCACAUGCCGAGACGUCGACGAAUGCACCGAGACGCCGCAUGUAUGCAACCAGAUCUGCUCGAAUACGAUCGGAAGCUACGAUUGUUUUUGCAAAGCCGGGUACACUCUCUCCCUCCAUGACAACUUCACGUGCGAAGAUGUGAAUGAGUGCACUCAAGGUACCCACAAUUGCAGUCAUAUCUGCACCAACUACGAUGGUGGUUAUUACUGCGAAUGUCCACUGGGAUACGAAAUGACCGGGGACCAGAGAUCAU
Long non-coding RNA from Ixodes scapularis (black-legged tick), 365 nucleotides. RefSeq lists it as uncharacterized. The transcript has 3 exons. The record is from RefSeq and is a predicted model, not a curated record. Lineage: Eukaryota; Metazoa; Arthropoda; Arachnida; Ixodida; Ixodidae.